CCUACGGGGGGCAGCAGUGAGGAAUAUUGGUCAAUGGACGAGAGUCUGAACCAGCCAAGUAGCGUGAAGGAUGACUGCCCUAUGGGUUGUAAACUUCUUUUAUAUGGGAAUAAAAUGUUCCACGUGUGGGAUUUUGUAUGUACCAUAUGAAUAAGGAUCGGCUAACUCCGUUCCAGCAGCCGCGGUAAUACGGAGGAUCCGAGCGUUAUCCGGAUUUAUUGGGUUUAAAGGGAGCGUAGGUGGAUUGUUAAGUCAGUUGUGAAAGUUUGCGGCUCAACCGUAAAAUUGCAGUUGAAACUGGCAGUCUUGAGUACAGUAGAGGUGGGCGGAAUUCGUGGUGUAGCGGUGAAAUGCUUAGAUAUCACGAAGAACUCCGAUUGCGAAGGCAGUUCACUGGACUGCAACUGACACUGAGGCUCGAAAGUGUGGGUAUCAAACAGGAUUAGAUACCCUAGUAGUC
Molecule: ribosomal RNA, 460 nt
Filed under: uncultured bacterium
Lineage: Bacteria
Description: partial 16S ribosomal RNA
Rfam family: Bacterial small subunit ribosomal RNA
Source: RNAcentral